This 76-nucleotide transfer RNA is filed under the name Deltaproteobacteria bacterium. Its description in RNAcentral is "tRNA-Gly". It matches the Rfam family "tRNA". Rfam says of the family: Transfer RNA (tRNA) molecules are approximately 80 nucleotides in length. Their secondary structure includes four short double-helical elements and three loops (D, anti-codon, and T loops). Lineage: Bacteria; Pseudomonadati; Myxococcota; Myxococcia. The record is from RNAcentral.
GCGGGAGUAGCUCAGUUGGUAGAGCACAAGCUUGCCAUGCUUGAUGUCGCGGGUUCGAAUCCCGUCUCCCGCUCCA